UUCUCAGCCAUCUCCCUGCUCCCAGGGCUGCGGCGUUGCCUGCACUGAGCCUGACUUCCGGCUUGCCUGGCAGGGGAGGGCAAGGCCAGGCAGGGACCCCAGCCAGCACUUCUGGGAGCAGAGGUCUUUGCUGGCUCCAGGGGCAGCAUGGGGCCAGCACAGGACCUGGGAGGACACCUGGGAGCUGGUCGGUUGGUCCUGAAACAUGGAGGCCAAGUGUAUGAUGAGUGACUCCCAGACAGUGAGAACCUGGCAUGCUGGGAGGCAGAGGAGACGGAAGCAGAGGCCCACAGUCUGGGGACAGGCAGACAGGCAUGCUGGUGAAUGUCCCACAGCCCGCUCUCCGGGGGCAGAGAGCCCCCAUUCCUGACUUACGCUAAUUCCCAUGCUGUGAACGUACCACUGCUGGCUCUGGCUGGGCACCCUCAGCAUGCCCAUCCCCCAGUGCCACCCGCCUGCCUUCGAUUCUGGUGGUUCUCCAUCCUACACGGCCUGGCUGCUCUCUGGCUACAGAUAUUCUCAGUGCCUCUGAAGAUGUGACCCAAGGGCAGUCUCUCAAAAAUACCUGAAGCCAAGAAACACAGUCUGGAAACCAAAAAAGGAAUUCCGAGA
Manis pentadactyla (Chinese pangolin) is the source of this 612-nucleotide long non-coding RNA. RefSeq lists it as uncharacterized. NCBI's taxonomy places the organism in Eukaryota, Metazoa, Chordata, Mammalia, Pholidota, Manidae. The record is from RefSeq and is a predicted model, not a curated record. The transcript is spliced from 2 exons.